RNAcentral lists this long non-coding RNA (697 nucleotides) under Homo sapiens (human). Its description in RNAcentral is "non-protein coding lnc-FAM135B-4:1". Lineage: Eukaryota; Metazoa; Chordata; Mammalia; Primates; Hominidae. The record is from RNAcentral.
GGCCAUCACAGUUGACUCUGAGGCAGGAGCCAGGCUAUGUACACCCUCUAUCACAAAGACCUACAAGGGAGGACUGUCCCAAAUUUACAGAUCCAGAGAUCCGGAGAAAGGAAAUGGCACUUUAAGAUCACACAGCUAAACUAAGAAACAGACAAACCUGGAAGUCAGGGCUUUAGGCCCCACCCUUCUUUCUAUAGUUUUUUUUUUUUUUCUAAAUCCAAGGAUGUUCCUUUCUCUCCCCACUCCCCAAUAAUGGGCUGCAUAUGAUUUCCAAGGUUUAAAACUUGUAAACAUGAGGUGGACAGAAGGUUUGGGAACAGGGCAAUGCCAAGCUGUGGGCAGUAAAGAAUUUUAAAUAGCAAGAGUGUCCUGACAAGCUCUUUUAAGAUGAUGGGGUGAGGAAAAGGCUGUGUACGUCACAGGUCGCCCUGCCAGUAGGGCAAAGCAGGAGAGCCAGGUCUACCAGGACCAGAGGGUGCCCGAGGCCCACCUGGCUUCAAGGGACACACAGGCGAUUCUGGUGCACCCGGUCCCCGGGUAAAGUCUGGUGCCAUGGGGCUUCCUGGUCAGGAAGGGUUACCAGGAAAAGAUGGUGACACUGGACCCACUGGGCCACAGGGUCCCCAAGGACCAAGGGGCCCACCGGGCAAGAAUGGAUCACCGGGAUCUCCAGGAGAGCCUGGCCCUUCAGGAACCC